This 605-nucleotide ribosomal RNA is filed under the name uncultured fungus. RNAcentral's name for it is "eukaryotic LSU rRNA". The stretch from base 181 to 334 matches the Rfam family "5.8S ribosomal RNA". Lineage: Eukaryota; Fungi. The record is from RNAcentral.
UCCGUAGGUGAACCUGCGGAAGGAUCAUUAGUGAAUUUAGCGCAUCUACUUUGUAGAGCGUGACCUCCACUUUCUAACUCUGUGCACUUAAUGGCGGAAGAAGAUGUGUAAAAGCUCUUCUUCUGCGGCUCAUUUUAUAACACUAGUUAAAGAAUGUAACGAAAUAUCGAAACAAAAAAAAACUUUCAACAACGGAUCUCUUGGCUCUCGCAUCGAUGAAGAACGCAGCGAAAUGUGAUAAGUAAUGUGAAUUGCAGAAUUCAGUGAAUCAUCGAAUCUUUGAACGCACCUUGCGCUCCCUGGUAUUCCGGGGAGCAUGUCUGUUUGAGUGUCAUGAAAUCUUCAACCCACCUCUUUCUUAGUGAAUCUGGUGGUGCUUGGUUUCUGAGCGCUGCUCUGCUUCGGCUUAGCUCGUUCGUAAUGCAUUAGCAUCCGCAACCGAACUUCGGAUUGACUUGGCGUAAUAGACUAUUCGCUGAGGAUUCUAGUUUACUAGAGCCGAGUUGGGUUAAAGGAAGCUCCUAAUCCUAAAGUCUAUUUUUUGAUUAGAUCUCAAAUCAGGUAGGACUACCCGCUGAACUUAAGCAUAUCAAUAAGCGGAGGAA